Molecule: ribosomal RNA, 562 nt
Filed under: uncultured bacterium
Lineage: Bacteria
Description: partial 16S ribosomal RNA
Rfam family: Bacterial small subunit ribosomal RNA
Source: RNAcentral
UGGGGAAUUUUGGACAAUGGGCGAAAGCCUGAUCCAGCAAUGCCGCGUGUGUGAAGAAGGUCUUCGGGUUGUAAAGCACUUUUGUCCGGAAAGAAAUCCUUGGCUCUAAUACAGUCGGGGGAUGACGGUACCGGAAGAAUAAGCACCGGCUAACUACGUGCCAGCAGCCGCGGUAAUACGUAGGGUGCAAGCGUUAAUCGGAAUUACUGGGCGUAAAGCGUGCGCAGGCGGUUUGCUAAGACCGAUGUGAAAUCCCCGGGCUCAACCUGGGAACUGCAUUGGUGACUGGCAGGCUAGAGUAUGGCAGAGGGGGGUAGAAUUCCACGUGUAGCAGUGAAAUGCGUAGAGUGUGGAGGAAUACCGAUGCGAAGGCAGCCCCCUGGGCCAAUACUGACGCUCAUGCACGAAAGCGUGGGGAGCAAAACAGGAUUAGAUACCCCUGGUAGUCCACGCCCCUAAAACGAUGUCAACUAGUUUGUUGGGGGAUUCAUUUUCCUUAGUAACGUAGCUAACGCGUGAAGUUGACCGCCUGGGGAGUACGGUCNCAAGAUUAAAACUUAAA